AUUUAUAUAGUUUAAUAAAAACAUUAUAUUUUCAAUAUAAAAAUAAUUUCUUUUUUAUAAAUA
Molecule: transfer RNA, 63 nt
Filed under: Graptodytes eremitus
Lineage: Eukaryota; Metazoa; Arthropoda; Insecta; Coleoptera; Dytiscidae
Description: tRNA-Glu
Source: RNAcentral